UGAGUAAGUUAGAUGAUCGCUGCCUCGAAAGAGGGAGAGGAAAGUCCGAGCUCCGUAGGGCAGGAUGCCGGGUAAUACCCGGUGGAGGCGACUCCAAGGAAAGUGCAACAGAGAUAUACCGCCAUAAUCUUUCUCCGGCUUUCAUCAUUGAAAAAUGCUGGAGUUGGAUGAAUGCAGUUUCCAUUUAAACUGCGUGGCAAGGGUGGAAAGGUGAGGUAAGAGCUCACCAGCAGUUAGGCGACUAACUGGCUCUGUAAACCCCAUCUGGAGCAAGACCAAAUAGAAGAGCAUUUAUGUACUGGCCCGGUACGCUCUUGGGUAGUGUCGCUUGAGCUAACUGGCAACAGUUAGCCUAGAUAGAUGAUCAUCCACGACAGAACUCGGCUUAUAGACUUACUCAUAUG
RNAcentral lists this RNase P RNA (404 nucleotides) under Fonticella tunisiensis. RNAcentral describes it as "Bacterial RNase P class A". It matches the Rfam family "Bacterial RNase P class A". Rfam says of the family: Ribonuclease P (RNase P) is a ubiquitous endoribonuclease, found in archaea, bacteria and eukarya as well as chloroplasts and mitochondria. Its best characterised activity is the generation of mature 5'-ends of tRNAs by cleaving the 5'-leader elements of precursor-tRNAs. The record is from Rfam by way of RNAcentral. Lineage: Bacteria; Bacillati; Bacillota; Clostridia; Eubacteriales; Clostridiaceae.